UAUGACUAUGCCACUCUAAAAAAGUCUGCAGUAUGCCCACAUUUUGAAUGCAGUAUGCAGUUCUUAUCUCUUCCUAGCUCAAACAGAUCUAGUGGAACUAGGAAAGCUAAAGAGAAAGGGGACAAGGUGACAGAAGAUAUGGGACAGCUUCUGUAAGGAGCUACGUUUGCUGAACAUUCCUGAAAAUGCUGAAGUUCCUUCCACCAUCAAUGACUGUAAGAGGACUGCGCUGCAUCUUGUGCAUUUGAGCACAAAAUUUGGAACCAGACAAGAUGGUGAAAGAAAGAUUUGGAAAAAGUAACAGGGACAAAGCAGGCAAAGUGGGCCAGAGACAAAAUCGACUUGAAGAAAUUGAUCAAUGAAUGGAGUCAGUUUGUAGCUAAUUAAAUAAGUUGCUAUUGAAAUGAAUUGAAAGCUUAAGACAACACCUCACUGAAGUAACUAAAAAGGAGGGAAAAUAACACACAGUUGCACACCAUUGUAUCUUAAAAGAAUUUUGCCAGUGAGGUCAACAUUAUUUUUAUGUCAGAGGUAGGAAAGCUUUUGUACAGAAAACAGAAGUGAUUUUCCCGAGGUCAUUCGGUAUUACUGGGAAUAAAAACUGUGUUCCCAGCCAAUUGACCCCUUUGCUCAGCAACUCUACUUCCAGUUUUCCUCACUCUUAUAGCAAUCUAUCAAUAUCACCUGCAAAAGUACAGGCUUCAGUGGAAGCAGAGACAGGAAUAACAUGCACCGAACAAGCAUUCACUGCAUUCAGCAGUGAAUUCCCGAGAUGCUCAAGAAAGCUCAAGGGAAAGACCAAAACCAGAAUGGUAAUGCUGACCUCAUUUUCUGAGGGAAACAAAUUCAUAAAAGGACUGGAGUAUAUUAAUGAAGGACUUGAUAGAUAUAAUAAAGCACUGAUUUUGCACCUUUGAGAAACCCUAUAGUUCACUUACAAAUGUUAAAAACAUUAAAUUUCCCUUAUUAUGUAUGUUACAACACAUUUGAUAAAUGGCAACAACUUCAUGAUCAGGCCAGAAUUCAUAACUAUAUUCUGGUUUUCUUCCCUUUCCUAAUUCCAAUUUCUAACUAAAAUGGCUAACUGAGCUUGCUUUUCUCUCUUUCUGCCAUUUAUUCAAUUAUCACUUCUCCUCUAGGUCUCUCCCUUCUACAUAGCUCAUCUCUGAGUAGGUGGUGAAGCUUUCACUUCUAUCCCACCUAUUUGGACAUGAUUCUUCAUUUACUUUGAGUCACUUUCACUUCAAAAUUAUGCAUCCCCUGUCUAUGACCCUUUGUAUGUCCUAUACUAAGAAGGAAAGUCUGUCAUAUACUUCAACCACCUCUUUAAUGUACUAAAAAAGUAAUUUCUGGUGCUUGAGAAGGAAAAAUAAUCCCACCUCUAAAAUCUUAAACUGUAAGAGACAGACAAAAUGAUACCUCUCUGGGUCAACAUCUUAAACUACUUAAACUGAUGUAGUUUUAAAUUUUCUUAGAAUUAGUUAAUCUAGACGUCUAGAUAGCAGAGUUUGUUUUGUACAGAAGUUCAAUCCUUCUUUAAAUGUUCUUUUUUUCCUGACUAAUUCCUGGUUAAUUACAGUAUAAGUCCCUCUUCCCACAGAAACAGGUUUUCAGCUACCUCCAGCAAAUCAGCACGCAUUACGGUGCAUCUUGUCAGUGUUGUGCUUGGUGAUUUUCAUGCUGUGUCUGGAGUAACUCUAGCCUAUUGUCUUGUUCUGAAUCUGCCCUGAGUCUCAUUCACCCUCUCUGUUCCUUUUCAAUUGUCUGUCUGCCAUCAUGUGUUGUGCUUUUAUUUCUACUGACCUAAAUACUGAUGACUCACCUUUUCCCUCUGAGUAGUUUUUCCUCAACUCUCACAUAAAACCACUUUUAUUUUCCUUAUAAUGCAUGCAAUUCAUGUGUGGUUAAGAUCUCUUUAAGAAGAUCAACAUAUAUAUUAAAGAUCCAGUGCUAAUGCAACAGUAGUAACCUAAAAUGUAGGUACAGUUUUGUCAAAGUUAGCUUAUAAUUUCAGUGAAUUUAAAAAGUACAUGGAGAGCUUGACUACAAAGGCAAAACAUAGAUCUGACCCCUCUCAAGUCAGUGACAGACACAUUUGUAUGCCAGAAUCAGACCCUUGCCCACCAGAUAAUCCCUACAAGGAAUUAGAUACUUAGACCUUCACAAAUUCCACUUCUGUUGGCUUUUGAGUGACCUGAAACUUCUAUUUCACUUGGCUGUUUAAAUUAAUCUGGAGACCCAUUUGAAGAUUUACAAAUGAUGGUUACUACUUCUUUUGUGCUUCUGCCCAUUUGGAACUAGUUUAAUACUUCCAGGUGACCUAAAUACAAUUCUGAAGGAAUGGACCCAUCAUAAAGAGUUCUAUUUACAUAAUUCAUUUUUGUAAGUAUUUUCCUACCAUUUUGCUGUUCAGAUGAAUAUUUUUUGUAUAAUUAAAAACAAAAAAAACCCAAUACUCCAAAAAUUAACUUGCCCGUUGCCUGGGGAAAAGUGUUAUUCUUCCAGGCAUUUUGUGUCAGAGAAGCAGGUAAUGAAUCUUUCUGAUCUGUCUUUGAAGCACUCCAGACAAUUGAGAACAGGUUGAAUCAGAUGUCAGACCGAUCGAUAGCUUAGAGGUGAUGGAGUCAUUGGACUAGCUCAGCACUAGCAGUAGAAAAGAAAUGGUCCAAAGAAACUGAAUGUUUAUGGGGAAAUGUACAUUAUUUCAAAGAAAUAUAAUAAAGGAAAUCAAAUUGUUGCUAAGGAUAACUUCUAUAGAAUCACUAUAUACCGUCUCUCUCUGAUAUACACUCAGUUCCUACUAAAGAAGCCCAGUGAUUUAUAUACACAGGAUUGUGACUGAGGAACAGAAAUAUCUAAUCAAAGUGAACAUACAGUAAACUUAGAGUGUUUGAAAAACAUUAAAAUGUUCACAUUCAGCUCACCUUUUUAUAUUACUCCUUCUGUCUUUAUAUUAACUAUAUUGAGGCUUUCUGGAUCAUCUCCAGCUUGAGUAUAUUUUCCCAUUAGUGAGCUCACCAAAAUUACACCUAAUAAAGUAGAAGCCUUAGAACACCAAGCACUCUACUCACUAUCUGCACAGUUUUCUCAGACAGAGGGGUACAUUGAGAUUAAUGAUGUUUGGAGAUAUACAUUUAGAUUUGUAUGAAGAUAUUUUUCCUUUCUUUUUAAACUGUAGAUUCAGUGAAAGCAUCCUGAAACUAUUUGCAAAGGCAGGUUGAAUUUACUGAGUAGCUCUAUCUGGAAAAAAGCAGCCAGGGGAAAAUUCACAAAAAUGGUAGUCAAAGAGAUGUAGUUCCCUUUUCUCAAAGCACUCCCAUGGGACAGAGAAGACCGUGGGUCCCACUUCUCUGUAUUUCUGGAGGAAUAUGAAUUUGUAUGCCCUAUUUCCCAACAGAGUACCUUAUUUUUGUGAAAAAGAAUUAUGAAGCCAGACCUCUUAGCCCCUCAGGCUGAAUCAAAAUACAGAAGGAGUCAGUGAGACAGAGCACAGGACUGUUUCACAAGCUGUUUUACCUACAAGCUGGGAGUAUACUCACUACAGUGAUUAGUUCCUUAUGAAGAUGAUGUCUAAAUGCUUUGGAUGCUCCAGUACAUUUUCAUUUAUACAGAAGUCAGCCGAACAGUCCUCACUUCAGAUUCAAACCAACUGUCUGCAUCACCGAUGUAGACAAUCUGUUAACCAGAUUUUACAGCCUAUAUGUCCUGAUCAGUAUGGAGUACGCGGUAUGCAAGAAUAUAUAGACUUUCCUUUGUCUAAGGAUCCUCCAUAGGAGCCAUUCCACGGGACUAUAUUAUCUUUAAUCCCACAUGUUGUAGGAUUUUCUUGUUCUAUUUGACCCCGAGACAAUUACAUUGGAAUAGAGCAUGUUCACUGAUAUUCUUCAAAGAUUUAUACCUACUUCACUGACUUUUUGCUCCCUGUUUCUGAGGACUGAAUUGCCUUCCAGAAGUACUAUAAUAUUGGUUCACCUUAUUUAGAAAUAUGCACAUGUACACAAGCACACACAGAGAAAUAUACUAUGGAUUGAAAGCAUACUUUUGUACAACAGUGAAAAAUAUUCCAUUGUUGUGAUAUUAGGCUUGAUUCACUAUCAGCUGGUAUUUGAAAGACUGAUGCACGCUACAGAACAGAAUUAUAAAACAUUAUUUUGAAUUUAUUUGAUGAACAUGCGAUGGUGGUGUCAGCUCUCAAAUAAAGACUAGAACAGUCAGGAAGGGGAAUUACUCAAUGAAUUACUAUUGGUUUAUUUUAAACUGCCUUGUUAUUUACCUACAACAUGUUGCAGAUAAUACGUCACUCUUCUUAGCAGCAAAAUCAACCAAUUAAUUCCAAAGACGGUUGUGUGUUCUCCAUCUCCUUCAAAGCAUUUUCAGAACAACAGUUCAGAAAUGAAAGAAAUACAAUGUCUUCAAAUAGCUUUAGGAGAAAAGUCUUAAAUGUAUGUCAUUCUCUCCAGCAGCGCCAAAAAUGGUUUAUGACAAAAAAACAAAAUACGUAUUUUUUUUAAUGUUUCCUUCGUGGUUUCAACUGUUUUGGAAGACUAUCUCUCAAAAUGGAGAGACAAAUAAUCCUGUGCUUUUCUUUUAAUGAUGUGGAUUAAACAUAAACAAACUGCCUUUUUUUUGCUCUUUGUGUAUAAGAUUUUACUUUCUUUAUGAUCAAAACCUCUACUUCUUUCAACUAUAUUGAGAUGCUCAAAAAGUUCAGUGCUCCUUUGGAUGCUUUGUUAUUACACUCCAGUAUCUGACAGCUGGAAGCUUGAAGCACGUAGAACAAGAAAGAAGAGUCAUUUUCCAACAUUUUACAACACCGUCCUAGAAGAAAACUCCUAGGAGUGUUCUAAGGAAGUGAAAGAGGCAAUAUGGGCCUUCCAUUUAUGUUGAGUCUAUUCAACAAAGGACUGAUUUAGUUCCACUGAAUUUUGACUAAGCAAGCCCUGCAAGGUCUAAGUGGG
This is a long non-coding RNA of Cuculus canorus (common cuckoo), 4958 nucleotides long. RefSeq lists it as uncharacterized. The record is from RefSeq and is a predicted model, not a curated record. The transcript has 4 exons. NCBI's taxonomy places the organism in Eukaryota, Metazoa, Chordata, Aves, Cuculiformes, Cuculidae.